Molecule: ribosomal RNA, 209 nt
Filed under: uncultured bacterium
Lineage: Bacteria
Description: partial 16S ribosomal RNA
Rfam family: Bacterial small subunit ribosomal RNA
Source: RNAcentral
UACGUAGGGGGGCAAGCGUUGUCCGGAAUUAUUGGGCGUAAAGCGCGCGCAGGCGGUUUGUUGCGUCGGCUGUGAAAAUCCCCGAGGCUCAACCUCGGGUCUGCAGUCGAUACGAGCAAACUAGAGUGUUGCAGGGGAGACUGGAAUUCCUGGUGUAGCGGUGAAAUGCGCAGAUAUCAGGAGGAACACCGGUGGCGAAGCGGCUCUGG